UUUUACAAAACAUGUCCUUUUGUUAUAAUAUAAGGUCGGGCCUGCCCAAUGAUUAUAAGUUUAAUGGCCGCAGUAUAUUAACUGUGCAAAGGUAGCAUAAUCAAUUGUCUUUUAAUUGAGGACUAGUAUGAAAGGUUUGACGAGGGGUGAGCUUUCUUUAUUAUAAAGAAUGAAUUUUAUAUUUAAGUUAAAAGGCUUAAAUGUUAUUAUGGGACGAGAAGACCCUAUAGAGCUUUAUAAUUAACUUUCUUAAACUAAUUAGUUUAUAAUAGAAUAGGAGAAUUUAAUUAUUUUGUUGGGGUGACAUAUAAAUUUAUAUAACUUUGUAUUUAAAUAGUCAUUAAUUAGUGUUUGAUUGAUCCGUUUUAACGAUUAUAAGAUUAAGUUACCUUAGGGAUAACAGCGUAAUUUUAUUGGAGAGUUCUUAUCGAUAAUAGAGUUUGCGACCUCGAUGUUGGAUUAAAAUAAGUAUUAGGUGUAGCAGCUUAAAUACUAAGUCUGUUCGACUUUUAAAUUUUUACAUGAUCUGAGUUUC
RNAcentral lists this ribosomal RNA (535 nucleotides) under Rhamphocoris sp. 1 JK-2020. RNAcentral describes it as "partial large subunit ribosomal RNA". It matches the Rfam family "Bacterial large subunit ribosomal RNA", at positions 1803 to 2613 of the family's 2925-position model. The record is from RNAcentral. Lineage: Eukaryota; Metazoa; Arthropoda; Insecta; Hemiptera; Nabidae.